UACAGAGGUUACAAGCGUUAUCCGGAUUUAUUGGGCGUAAAGCGUUUCGUAGGCGGAUUUUUAAGUUAUUCUUCAAAGACUACGGCUUAACCGGAGGAAGGGGGGUAAUACUGGAAGUCUUGAUUUUUAGUGGGGUAUCUGGAACUGAUGGUGUAGUAGUGAAAUACGUUGAUAUCAUCAGGAACUCCGAGGGCGAAGGCAGGAUACUAACUAUUAUAUGACGCUGAGGAACGACAGCUAGGGGAGCGAAAGGG
This 254-nucleotide ribosomal RNA is filed under the name uncultured bacterium. RNAcentral describes it as "partial 16S ribosomal RNA". It matches the Rfam family "Bacterial small subunit ribosomal RNA", at positions 524 to 776 of the family's 1533-position model. The record is from RNAcentral.